UGAACCCGACACGCGGUACGGUCGGUGCGAUAUCGACGACGGUAAGACGGAAGCCGGUGGGAAACCGGCACGGUCGCGCCACUGUGAACGAGGGGUCCCGGACGGGAUGUCUUGUGAGUCAGACCCGUAACCGUCGUCCUGUGC
Molecule: non-coding RNA, 144 nt
Filed under: Streptomyces violaceusniger
Lineage: Bacteria; Bacillati; Actinomycetota; Actinomycetes; Kitasatosporales; Streptomycetaceae
Source: RNAcentral